Molecule: long non-coding RNA, 2074 nt
Organism: Alligator mississippiensis (American alligator)
Lineage: Eukaryota; Metazoa; Chordata; Crocodylia; Alligatoridae
Exons: 2
Source: RefSeq, a predicted model, not a curated record
CGGAACCGCAGGAAAACUUCCCCCAUUCCACCCAUGGAGGACUCCACUAAUUUUUUUUUUGGUGUUAAAUGGCUUGUGUGUGUGUGUGUGUGUGUGCUCUUGUGCUAACAGAUAUAUAGGGAGAGGAAUCUUCUGUUUAAGUUGGAAUACAACAAAGAGAGGUUUCCAGGAAGGAUCACACAUGUUUUUCUUAAGAGUCCUGUGACCUGUGGGAGAUUUAUAACUGCUGCAAAGAAACAGGUGCCAGAACCAUCGUGAUAUAUUGGGGAAAUUCCGUUCCACCGAGAGGAAUCCAGCUACGGGGAGCCCGGGCGGAUCCACGACUUUGAACAGAACUCAGGCAAAUUUUAGUGCCAGCUUCCUUUUUGAGCUGACAUCCAAAAUACUUUCAUUACUAAAAUGACUUUUUCUUUUUUUCCUUUUUUUUUUUACCCCGGUUGACCGCUGUGGAUGGGAACUUCGGAUCUGAUUUGCAAGGUCCCUUAAAAUAUAAGAAGCGAUGGCACUGCAAAGGAACACAGUGCACCUUUUAUAUUCCCGAUGUGCAUCACAGCAGAAGAGAUGAACUGCACCAUGAAUGAUCAAUAGAUGUCUUGUAUGAGGGGGGUUGGCCCAGGCCAGCUCUUGAACAAGCAAUAGAUAUUCUUCCACUCCUAGUCAGUCCAUCCAGCCCUAGACCACCAGUCUGUCAUCAUAGAUGGAAAUAACUCCAUCUGUUCCAAAGACUGCUAGCUGCCACAAGGAACAUGGAAGUAAAAUUAAUAUCACAUGCCUCAAAAAUAAGAAGCGACGCUAGCUUUUUAAAGGAGAAGUGCACUACCUGAGAACUGGACAUCUAGGCACUUUUCAAGCUGCUUGCAUGCCUUGGUGGAGAAGCUGGCAGGAAUAUGCAAUCACCGCCUUUUUUUGCUCCAUUUUGGGGGAUAUAAUUCUCCCCACCCUCACAUUCAUGAGAUCUCUCCCUCUGUCUCUCUCUCUCCAGUGUCAUAAAUAAGAUCAAAGCCCCAAGCCUCCAUUUGUACCUCUUCAUGGGGCUAUCAGUUCAAACCUCCCUGAAGCUGUUUACUGCAGCUGAGAGAUACUGAUAUUUCCCAUCUCCUUCCCUCCUGGAGAGUUGGCCACCCCAGAGUAAGAGUCUCAUCCAAACCACCUCAUCUCCUUCAUAAAGUCCUAGAAAACAAGGCCAGAAAAUGCCAGUUGGCUCAGCCAGCUCAUCCCCCGGUAGGUUUGCUCUCCGCAUCUAAUUUGUUCUCAUAUACCGUAUCUGCAGCUGCAGCAGCCCUUCCUCUCCCGUGAGUUUUCCAAACUAUGGGCCACCUCCUAUCAUGGGGAGAGAAAAGGCAUAAAAGGAGUAAUUUCCAAAUGGGCCUAAUUUGGGGAAACAAUGAUAAAAUUUGAGAAAACAAUGAUAAAACUUAGCCAGAACGUUAACUUUGGACCGCAGUGGGUGCUACCAUCCAGCUGUGAGGCUCACCACAAAGAACUUGUGAAAGAAAGUCUGGGUUUUGCUACUUGUUGCUCCAUAGUGAACUCUGCAGUGUCAGCUGGCAUGAAGAGCAAAAUGACCCCUUCCCUCGCUGCUUUUCCCGUAUCUCCCAGCAGGGUCCGGUGGCUGGUGGCGCGGUUCCAAAGAGACCCGUGAUUGAUGUACAAAUAUGUAAUAGUGGGGAAAAAAAUCUCACUGCUUCUUCAUGUCUAAUUCCCACUGAUUUGCAGGCUUCAUACCAAAACACUGCUGGGAGUAACCAAGUAAGUUUCCUCUCUCGGACAUCUCGCUGCAGAGGAGAUGGAUAGAUCAACAGGAUUUCAGCUCAUGCUUAUUAAGCAAUGGUUUUUCAUUUGUUUGCAAAGGCACAUCAAUGGAGCUGUUGUCUCCCAAGUUACUGCAAGACUGGAAUUAAUAAAAGAUCAUUGUUAAUGUGUAGAAAUAGAAGCUUUCGCAACCACGUACAGCCAAACUAGAGGUCAAUAUUGGACUUACCGAUUGCUUUCAAAGUCAAGUCCUCCCAUUCUGUUCCUAUAACGUCCUCGCCAUGAGGGUGUUCAAGAAAUACACUAUAAGAUGCAAUUAUGA